Molecule: ribosomal RNA, 643 nt
Filed under: Staphylococcus aureus
Lineage: Bacteria; Bacillati; Bacillota; Bacilli; Caryophanales; Staphylococcaceae
Description: bacterial SSU rRNA
Rfam family: Bacterial small subunit ribosomal RNA
Source: RNAcentral
UCUUGACGGUACCUAAUCAGAAAGCCACGGCUAACUACGUGCCAGCAGCCGCGGUAAUACGUAGGUGGCAAGCGUUCUCCGGAAUUAUUGGGCGUAAAGCGCGCGUAGGCGGUUUUUUAAGUCUGAUGUGAAAGCCCACGGCUCAACCGUGGAGGGUCAUUGGAAACUGGAAAACUUGAGUGCAGAAGAGGAAAGUGGAAUUCCAUGUGUAGCGGUGAAAUGCGCAGAGAUAUGGAGGAACACCAGUGGCGAAGGCGACUUUCUGGUCUGUAACUGACGCUGAUGUGCGAAAGCGUGGGGAUCAAACAGGAUUAGAUACCCUGGUAGUCCACGCCGUAAACGAUGAGUGCUAAGUGUUAGGGGGUUUCCGCCCCUUAGUGCUGCAGCUAACGCAUUAAGCACUCCGCCUGGGGAGUACGACCGCAAGGUUGAAACUCAAAGGAAUUGACGGGGGCCCGCACAAGCGGUGGAGCAUGUGGUGUAAUGCGAAGCAACGCGAAGAUCCUUACCAAAUCUUGGCAUCCUGUGACAACUCUAGAGAUAGAGCCUUCCCCUUCGGGGGACAAAGUGACAGGUGGUGAUGGUUGUCGUCAGGUCGUCGUGAUGAGAUGUUGGGUUAAGUCCCGCAACGAGCGCAACCCUU